Molecule: ribosomal RNA, 604 nt
Filed under: uncultured bacterium
Lineage: Bacteria
Description: bacterial SSU rRNA
Rfam family: Bacterial small subunit ribosomal RNA
Source: RNAcentral
GCAAGAUUAAAACUCAAAGGAAUAGACGGGGACCCGCACAAGUGGUGGAGCAUGUGGUUUAAUUCGAAGAUACGCGAAGAACCUUACCUAGCCUUGACAUAUUUUAGAAUUCUUUAGAGAUAGAGAAGUGCCUUCGGGAGCUAAUUUACAGGUGCUGCACGGCUGUCGUCAGCUCGUGUCGUGAGAUGUUGGGUUAAGUCCCGCAACGAGCGCAACCCUCGUCACUAGUUACUAACGAUUCGGUCGAGGACUCUAGUGAGACUGCCUUCGUAAGGAGGAGGAAGGUGAGGACGACGUCAAGUCAUCAUGGCCCUUACGGCUAGGGCAACACACGUGCUACAAUGGUUGGGACAGUGAGACGCGAUACCGCGAGGUGGAGCAAAUCUAUAAACCUAAUCUCAGUUCGGAUUGUAGUCUGCAACUCGACUACAUGAAGCUGGAAUCACUAGUAAUCGUAGAUCAGCUAUGCUACGGUGAAUACGUUCCCGGGUCUUGUACUCACCGCCCGUCACACCAUGGGAGUUGAUUUCACCCGAAGCGGGGAAGCUAAACUGGCUACCCUCCACGGUGGAAUUAGCGACUGGGGUGAAGUCGUAACAAGGUA